This 475-nucleotide ribosomal RNA is filed under the name uncultured organism. RNAcentral describes it as "partial 16S ribosomal RNA". It matches the Rfam family "Bacterial small subunit ribosomal RNA", at positions 333 to 799 of the family's 1533-position model. The record is from RNAcentral.
ACACUCCUGCGGGAGGCAGCAGUGGGGAAUAUUGCACAAUGGGCGCAAGCCUGAUGCAGCCAUGCCGCGUGUAUGAAGAAGGCCUUCGGGUUGUAAAGUACUUUCAGCGGGGAGGAAGGCGAUAAGGUUAAUAACCUUGUCGAUUGACGUUACCCGCAGAAGAAGCACCGGCUAACUCCGUGCCAGCAGCCGCGGUAAUACGGAGGGCGCAAGCGUUAAUCGGAAUUACUGGGCGUAAAGCGCACGCAGGCGGUCUGUCAAGUCGGAUGUGAAAUCCCCAGGCUCAACCUGGGAACUGCAUUCGAAACUGGCAGGCUAGAGUCUUGUAGAGGGGGGUAGAAUUCCAGGUGUAGCGGUGAAAUGCGUAGAGAUCUGGAGGAAUACCGGUGGCGAAGGCGGCCCCCUGGACAAAGACUGACGCUCAGGUGCGAAAGCGUGGGGAGCAAACAGGAUUAGAAACCCCGGUAGUCCCAUG